GAGAGAGUCUUAGCUUCUUAGUUAGAAAAUAAGAGGCUCUUAUGGAUAGACUAAGUGGCCAAUACUGUCCCAUUUUGUACCUGAAGACAACAGCGAUGUUGAGAAGCAUGUGGUUUAUUUAACCACAAUGGAAUCAGACUGGGCUUCAGGUUUUAGGCAGCAGGCAUAUUUGGGGCUUCUUUGUGCCAUCUCUAGCCCUAAGUUCCUCCUCUGAAAGCCCCACAGGUUAAAAUUAGAUGUUGCUGGCACACAAGGAAUGUUUUUAAUGUAAUAACUGCCUGUUUACCUCUUAGAACUGUAAACAGCCUAGAACAGGGAUGUCUAUCUUGUUGGCAUUUGCUGUUUCAUAGGAAAACAGCAGUCUCACAGAGAUACAGUUCAGUGAGCCAAUUAAGGCUUGCCUGUUAAAAUUAUGCAAAAUAUAUGGCAGUAACUAUAAAAGCUGUUAUUAAUUCAAAGCAUAGACCAUGAAAUCCAGGUUUCAGUGCUUACAAAGAAAAAAAAAAUGGAUCAAACAUCUUGGUGGCACUCAUGUGUUUCCAUUUCAAUUUCACAUUGUCUCUAGCCAGUGCUGUUUUGGGUAUCAGAUUACAGUCCUGAUGGAGAAUACUUGUGGAAAAUAUCCAUUCUGCCCAGAUGUUUAUGUCCCCUCCUCCUCCAGAAUUCAUGUGCUGAAAUAUUAACCCCCAGCGGUGAGGGAAUUCAGACAUUGGGCCUUUGGGAGGUAACGAGGUCGUAGGGCAGAAUUCUCAAGGAGUGGCCCCACUGACCUCCCCGGCCCCUUCCAGCAUGCGAGGACACAGCAAGAAGGCUCCAGCCGUGUACCAGGAAAGGGCCGUGAUGCUGCCUUCAUCUUGUACUUCCCAGCCUCAAGCACCUCACCUUGAGCAGAAAUGAAUUGAUUUAGUCAGACUUUGCUGAUACCAAACGCCUUGGCAUGACUUAUUGGCUCAUGGCUGAUCCCAGGAGAAGAUUGAGUGCCUACAAAUGAAUCAGACCGCAGAGAUCAGAUCCCAGCUCCAUAACUUACUAGCUGUGUGACCUUGGGAGCGCUUGCCUGGAUUCCUGGACAGCACCACCUGCAUCGUUUGUGAGGCCCAAGGCAAAAUGAAAAUAUAGACCCCCUUGUUCAGAAAGCAGGACAGAAAAGAUGACUGAAGCAAGAUAAGGACUGCCAUAAUUCCAUGAAGAAUAGAGAAACUACUGAAAUGACAGAAUCUUAAGAACUGAAAAGUACAUUUUCAUAAAGUGAUGCAGGAGCCAAGCCACCCCUCAGAGGCGUGCUGGGUACGAUGGGGAUUCCAGACAAUGAUUAGAAACAUGCAAAGCAGAUGAGAAAAGUCUCAGAGGAGCCAAGGGAUUCAUAAACCAGCAGACUUGAGCCUGGGUUCUGACCCACAUUUGGAUUUCUCAAGAGUAGGUGGGAACAAGAGAAGAUCUCACAACAUCAAUCUCCCCAGACCCUGGGGUGAUCUGGGAAGUCCAAGAAGAGGGGCCAGAUUGAGUAGGAGCCCAGGGGAAACAGACAUUGAGAGUCUUGGGAUAGCAAUUUUUUAAAUCAAGUUGUGCAGAAGUAAUUGAAUAAUUUUACAACUGGUACAGCAAACCUGGUAUGUAACAGCAAAUAUGAACCCUGGUCAUAAACACAUUAACUGAGAUAUCCAGUGGUUGGCUAAAAGUGAGAGGGAUCCACUCUCUGGGUAUGGAGUGGAAGGACUAACAAGAUGGUCCAUGAGACCAUCAGAAUGUGAGGAAGGGAAGGGCAUCUCAAGGCAUUUCAAGGAGACUGGAGGGCAGCAAGCAGCAGGAUCUGCAAACUGUUGUGGGGUCCACGGUUGGGGCACCAGGGACCUGAAACUGGAGGGACACACAGAG
This is a non-coding RNA of Odocoileus virginianus texanus, 1875 nucleotides long. The record is from RefSeq and is a predicted model, not a curated record. Lineage: Eukaryota; Metazoa; Chordata; Mammalia; Artiodactyla; Cervidae.